GACGAACGCUGGCGGCGUGCUUAACACAUGCAAGUCGAACGGAAAGGCCCUGCUUUUGUGGGGUGCUCGAGUGGCGAACGGGUGAGUAACACGUGAGUAACCUGCCCUUGACUUUGGGUUAACUUCGGGAAACUGGGGCUAAAACCGGAAAGAGCCUCUGGCUCAAGGGGGGGGGUGGGAAAGUUUCGGCGGUUGGGGAUGGACUCGCGGCUUAUCAGCUUGUUGGUGGGGUAGUGGCUUACCAGGGCUUUGACGGGUAGCCGGCCUGAGAGGGUGACCGGCCACAUUGGGACUGAGAUACGGCCCAGACUCCUACGGGAGGCAGCAGUGGGGAAUAUUGCACAAUGGGCGGAAGCCUGAUGCAGCAACGCCGCGUGCGGGAUGACGGCCUUCGGGUUGUAAACCGCUUUCGCCUGUGACGAAGCGUGAGUGACGGUAAUGGGUAAAGAAGCACCGGCUAACUACGUG
This 468-nucleotide ribosomal RNA is filed under the name uncultured bacterium. RNAcentral's name for it is "partial 16S ribosomal RNA". It matches the Rfam family "Bacterial small subunit ribosomal RNA", at positions 28 to 507 of the family's 1533-position model. The record is from RNAcentral.